UAAAACAUUCAAUCAAUUCACAACCUCUGGAUCAACUCAUUGAUCAAUCGACCUAGUCGAUUCAUAUGUCAGUUGGACCAUCUUUGGGUCACUUCACUUCCCAUCAUCACACCCCCAGCAGUACACUUAGUCACAGAGCUUCAUCAAUGCUCUCGGGCAUUACUUCUGCCAAGGUGACGUGUAUAAUGGACAGCACUCGUGUGUUCUUUAAGGCGCCGUUUUCACCAGUGAUACUCUCCAUCACCGAACCACGUAUGUCCAUACUGCUGCAUAUAAUAGACAGCACUCGUGCGUUCUUUAAGGCGCCGUUUUCACCAGUGAUAUCCUUUAAUCACCGAACCACGUAUGUCUCAUUAC
RNAcentral lists this long non-coding RNA (357 nucleotides) under Eucalyptus grandis. Its description in RNAcentral is "long non-coding RNA (EGRA_LNC007368)". The record is from RNAcentral. Lineage: Eukaryota; Viridiplantae; Streptophyta; Magnoliopsida; Myrtales; Myrtaceae.